This 495-nucleotide ribosomal RNA is filed under the name uncultured bacterium. RNAcentral's name for it is "partial 16S ribosomal RNA". It matches the Rfam family "Bacterial small subunit ribosomal RNA", at positions 28 to 507 of the family's 1533-position model. The record is from RNAcentral.
GACGAACGCUGGCGGCGUGCCUAAUACAUGCAAGUAGAACGCUGAAGGAGGAGCUUGCUUCUCUGGAUGAGUUGCGAACGGGUGAGUAACGCGUAGGUAACCUGCCUGGUAGCGGGGGAUAACUAUUGGAAACGAUAGCUAAUACCGCAUAAUAGUAGAUGUUGCAUGACAUUUGCUUAAAAGGUGCAAUUGCAUCACUACCAGAUGGACCUGCGUUGUAUUAGCUAGUUGGUGAGGUAACGGCUCACCAAGGCAACGAUACAUAGCCGACCUGAGAGGGUGAUCGGCCACACUGGGACUGAGACAAGGCCCAGACUCCUACGGGAGGCAGCAGUAGGGAAUCUUCGGCAAUGGACGGAAGUCUGACCGAGCAACGCCGCGUGAGUGAAGAAGGGUGUCGGAUCGUAAAGCUCUGUUGUAAGAGAAGAACGAGUGUGAGAGUGGAAAGUUCACACUGUGACGGUAGCUUACCAGAAAGGGACGGCUAACUACGUG